CGGAGGAAAAGAAACCAACAGGGAUUGCCUCAGUAACGGCGAGUGAAGCGGCAAAAGCUCAAAUUUUAAAGCUGGCAUCUUCGGUGUCCGCGUUGUAAUUUUGUGAGGCAUCUCCGGGUAGGGCGCCGGCCUAAGUUCCUUGGAACAGGACGUCACAGAGGGUGAGAAUCCCGUGCUUGGCUGGCUGUCCCCGUCCAUGUGAGGUGUCUUCGACGAGUCGAGUUGUUUGGGAAUGCAGCUCAAAAUGGGUGGUAAAUUUCAUCUAAAGCUAAAUAUUGGUGGGAGACCGAUAGCGCACAAGUAGAGUGAUCGAAAGAUGAAAAGCACUUUGAAAAUAGAGUUAAAAAGUACGUGAAAUUGUUGAAAGGGAAGCGCUUGAGAUCAGACUUCGGUAGGGGGUGAUCAGCCGUCCUUCUGGGCGGUGCACUUGCCCCUCUCCGGGCCAGCAUCGGUUGAGGCGGCGGGAUAAAGGUCCCGGGAAUGUGGCUCCUUCGCGGGAGUGUUAUAGCCCGGGUGAAUGCCGCCAGUCUCGACCGAGGACCGCACCCGCAAGGGUUAGGAUGCUUGGCAUAAUGGUCUUCAGCGACCCGUCU
Molecule: ribosomal RNA, 593 nt
Filed under: Morchella importuna
Lineage: Eukaryota; Fungi; Ascomycota; Pezizomycetes; Pezizales; Morchellaceae
Description: LSU rRNA
Rfam family: Eukaryotic large subunit ribosomal RNA
Source: RNAcentral